RNAcentral lists this ribosomal RNA (514 nucleotides) under Euparkerella brasiliensis (Brazilian Guanabara frog). RNAcentral's name for it is "partial 16S ribosomal RNA". It matches the Rfam family "Bacterial large subunit ribosomal RNA", at positions 1922 to 2596 of the family's 2925-position model. The record is from RNAcentral. Lineage: Eukaryota; Metazoa; Chordata; Amphibia; Anura; Craugastoridae.
GUUCAACGGCCGCGGUACUCUGACCGCGCGAAGGUAGCGUAAUCACUUGUUUUUUAAAUGAAGACUAGUAUGAAAGGCACCACGAAAAUCAAACUGUCUCCUCUUUCCAAUCAGUGAAACUAAUCUCCCCGUGAAGAAGCGGGGAUUUCUAUAUAAGACGAGAAGACCCUACGGAGCUUCAAACUAACUGGCACUUGCCCAUUCUUUAACCUCGCAAGAAACUCACCCAAGCAUCUCUGCCCGCAAGUUUUAGGUUGGGGCGACCACGGAGAAUAAACAACCCUCCAUGCUGACACAGAACUAUUUCUAAAUGAAAACCAACAGGUUUUCAGAUCAACAUAUUGACACUAUUGACCCAGUAAUCUGAUCAACGAACCAAGUUACCCUAGGGAUAACAGCGCAAUCUACUUUGAGAGCCCAUAUCGACAAGUAGGCUUACGACCUCGAUGUUGGAUCAGGAAAUCCCAGUGGUGCAGCAGCUACUAAAGGUUCGUUUGUUCAACGAUUAAAACCC